Molecule: transfer RNA, 72 nt
Filed under: Urocitellus parryii (Arctic ground squirrel)
Lineage: Eukaryota; Metazoa; Chordata; Mammalia; Rodentia; Sciuridae
Also listed under: 2 other names
Description: Spermophilus parryii (Arctic ground squirrel) tRNA
Rfam family: tRNA
About the family: Transfer RNA (tRNA) molecules are approximately 80 nucleotides in length. Their secondary structure includes four short double-helical elements and three loops (D, anti-codon, and T loops).
Source: Rfam by way of RNAcentral
UGGGUUGUAACUCAGUGGUAGAGCGCUUGCCUAGCAUGUGUGAGGCCCUGAGUUCGAUCCUCAGCACCACAU